Podarcis lilfordi (Lilford's wall lizard) is the source of this 15558-nucleotide non-coding RNA. The record is from the annotation of a GenBank genome assembly. Lineage: Eukaryota; Metazoa; Chordata; Lepidosauria; Squamata; Lacertidae.
AAUGCUUUUGCACCCCAUGUUUCUGAUUUGGCAAGUGCUCAGAGAAGAGGAAUCUGCCAAGCAAUGAACCCCGGAAAAGCGGAUCUACACUCAUUUUGAAGGCUUUCAUGGUCCAAGAGUAAAAUCUCCAUUAAAUGUGAGUCGUAAGUCAGGCUGCAGAACUACCCCUUUCCUUGACAGCUUCCUGACGUUGCAGAGUAUAAAAAGGGAUUGACUGCCAUGGAAGCACGUUGCUUCUUAGCUGACACUCGUAAAACUUAACUAAAUCAAAAGCCUUUCCUUUAAAAAGGCCCAGAGCCUGGUUUUCAUUGGACUGUGCACUAAAUGGGGGGAGAAAUCUCAGAGAAAGCACACUUUGGAAGGUCUGCUUCAGAAAAGAAAAACCAUUUCCGAAGCUCUUAAAAUGUUCCAUUUAUACGCAGUUGUCUUUUAUCAUGCACAGAUCUUGUAAGGCUGCACAGAUGAAAGAGGGGACUUUUCAAGUCAUGAUCCUCCUGGAGAUCCUAUACUUACGCUGUUUGGAUAUCUAAAGGAUAGGAGAACAGAAUAAGUCUUAGAGAUGACGAUUCGUUUGUUAAGGGCAGGUCAAAGAGAAUACCCUGCAACAUUUCUCAAAUGAAAAUAGGGAUGUCAUAUUUAAUACUAAUACUAAUACUCAGUGCUUUUUUCUGAGGGGACUCAGGGGUACGCAUACCCCUAAACAUUUUGUGAAUCUUUGUACUUUUGUCCAUUUACCGUAUUUAUUUUUCCCAAUUUGAACUAUAAAAUGGUGAGUCAAAAUGAGAGUAUCCAUACACAUUUUUUUAAAGAAAAAAGCACUACUAAUACUAAUACUAAUACUAAUACUAAUACUAAUACUAAUACUAAUACAAAUACUACUAUUUAUACCCCACCCAUCUGACUGGUUUGUCCCAGCCACUCUGGGCAGUUCCCAACAUAUAUAAAAAGAUAAUAUAAUGUUUAACAUUAAAACAUUAAAUAUUCCCAUCCAAGCUGGCCAUUAUAACAACUUUGUAACGCUUAGGAUUUGGUGACUGAAUUUGCUUUCUUUCUUCUUCUACCUUCCCCAUCCCUUUUUCCUUUUAUGAUGCAUCUUUUUCCAUUGUAAGCCUGAGGAAAAGGACUGUGUUGUUUUUGUUGAUUUGGAAGGCACUCUGGGAGCUUUCCUCCCUGAAAAGCAGGGUCCAAAUGCUUUGAAUCAAUCAAUCAAUCAAUCAAUCAAUGGAAAGGGCUAUUAUAGAACCUCUUCCCCAUGAGUUUUCUGCUCCCCUUUUAAUCUUCAAUAGCUGAGCUAACUGUCAACACCACCUCUUGGGUGUUUUCUUCUUUUUAAACCCAAUACCCUGAGAGCAGCAUCUUGUACAUCAACGCAAUAAUAGCAGGAGAAACAACAGAAGGAUGCAAAGCUUGUGCUCACUAAUCAGAACAAAUGUUUUCAGGCUUCCGAUGUGUGAUGCAAGCAAAUUAACCACUCUUAAGAGCAAAGUGGUGAUUCCACACUCCACCCCCCAAAAACACACACACAAAACACCCUUCUUCAGGUUCUGUUUACAAAGCAAACAAACCCUGGUGAAAUGUAACUGCUUGUCAGAGAAAAUGUCUAUUACUUAUUCUUGCCUUCUUGUAAUGUGAUGCCCACCGUACAACUUGUAAGUUUAAUAGGUCCCAGGAGCCGGCCACUUGGUUAGCGCAGGUUAAUGUUUCCGGGCACAUUUCAAAGUGUUGGUGCUGACCUUUAAAGCCCUAUACGGCCUCGGUCCAGUAUACCUGAAGGAGCGUCUCCACCCCCAUCAUUCAGUCUGGAAACUGAGAUCCAGCGCCGAGGGCCUUCUGGCGGUUCCCUUGCUGUGAGAAGCCAAGUUACAGAGAACCAGACAAAGGGCCUUCUCAAUAGUGGCACCUGCCCUGUGGAAUGCCCUCCCAUCAGUCCAGGAAAUAAACAACUAUCUGACUUUUAGAAGACAUCUGAAGGCAGCCCUGUUUAGGGAAGUUUUUAAUGUUUGGUGUUUUAUCAUGUUUUUAAUAUACUGUUGGGAGCCGCCCAGAGUGGCUGGGGAAAACCAGCCAGAUGGGCAGGGUAUAAAUAAUAAAUUAUUGUUAUUAUUAUUAUUAUUUAGGGGAAAAACAUACAUGAAAGGCAGAAGGGCCCCUGCCCAACCCCACACCCCCACUUGUCAUAUGAACACCACUUUGCCUCCGCUUCCACUCUGACUUUGAUCCAAAGAUUCAGAGGGUUAAUAGGAACGAAUUUCUUCUACUUCUGGGUAUUCCAGAUGAAGGGGGAGAUGUCACAACCUCCAUCAAGCAAGUCUCUGGCCUUCUCCAGAACAGUGCUUUGUCGUGAGUGUUUUCUGUGACAUGUUUGUGACACGAUGAUAGUGGUGGGCUAUUUCUGCUGUGAUUCUUUCCCAAUGGUAUUGCAUUAUUUUCUUUCUUCGGGGGCUACAGCACAACCAAAGCUGUACACACUCACACACUCACACACAACUCAGAACAGUUUGGGUUAAUACAGUGGUACCUCGGGUUACAUACGCUUCAGGUUACAGACUCCGCUAACCCAGAAAUAGUACCUCGGGUUAAGAACUUUGCUUCAGGAUGAGAACAGAAAUCGUGCUCUGGCGGCGCAGCAGCAGCAGGAGGCCCCAUUAGCUAAAGAACAGUUUCAGGUUAAGAACGGACCUCCGGAACGAAUUAAGUACUUAACCCAAGGUACCACUGUAAUUUGUUUGGCCAAAAGGUAGAGUGGAUGCCGCUGGGAAUGUUGAGAGAAUAGGAGUCACCAAACUGUCAUCUUCAUGGACAUUACAGGCAAGAAGUGCAUAAGCCAUAUACUCUACUCUCCACAGGGAAGUUUUAAAUGUUGGAUGUUUUAUUGCAUUUUUUAUAUUUUGUUGCAAACCACCCAGAGUGACUGGGGAAACCCAGCCAGAUGGGUGGGGUAUAAAUAAUAAAAAUUAUUAUUAUUAUUAUUAUUAUUACUACAGCAAGGAGUAUCCAUAAAGUGGACAUUGAAUACAGCAAUUCAACCUAUUUGGGUAUUGGCCCUUCCAUGUGUGUGUGUAUCCUGGUGAGAGAAAAACCAAAGUCAAGAAGAAUCUUGUCUCUUUUCCAAGAGGGUUUACCGUAUUUUUCCAUCUAUAAGACACCCCCUAUUUUUGGAGACUCACAUUUAAGAAAAUGGGGGGAGAAGGCACAGAGUUGUUGAGCUUUUUUUGAUCCCAAAAUCCACCUCCUAUCUGUCCCAUCGCCAGCAGAAGCUGCCAGUCGCCCACCCAACUGCUGGAGCUUCAGCCAAUCAACAUCACCCAUUGAUGCAGCAACCAAUAACACGCACAAUAGCCGCUGACAAUCGUUGCAGCGGCCAAUCAAACGUCCACCCUAUGCACUACCCAUGUAUAACACCCACAAUUUUUAGCAGGAUUUUUAAUGAAAAAACAUAGUCUUAUACAUGGAAAAGUACAGAAUGUCACCUGGAACUGGGAUGCCACUUAGCAGCCAUUUCUGAUGAGCUACUGCGGGGUGUUGUUGUUUUUUUAAUGUGAUCAUAUUGAUGGGAAUGUUAUUUAUAUGUAAUUUUCUAACGCUUUGUAAUCGUUGCAAGCUGCUUUGAGCUCAACUUUGCUGCUAGCAGAGGAGCGGCAUGCAAAUAUGACAUUGACUCAAAUCAACGUAACAAACUGAGGUUCGGCUUGACAUACAAGCCAAUGCAAGACAUUUGUCGAAAGUGGUCCAUUUGAAACUAAGCAGCGCUGAAUGCCAAUCAAAGCCACUAAACUUGUACAAAGUGCUUCUGUUCUUCCGGAGGCUUUGAUGGAGGAAAGAGUUAGGCUUUGAUUCUGUUGCUUCUCUCUCGCUCCUGAGUGGCAGGCAGCCCAUGUACAUUAUUUAUUAAAAGUUAAGGAGUAAGAUGCCUUUACUCCUGACUGGGAAAAGUGGGUUUUCAGGAAAGGUGGGGGGCUUUGGGAGAAAUAUAUAUAUAUCUCAGGAGCAAAGCUACUGGUGCGGAGCUUGAAGAUGAAGGACCCUGCUUUUUCUCCUUGCUAACUUUGAAUAUGGGAGCUUCAAAAUCCAGACUGUCAUGUAUGAUCACAAAACCCAUCUUAUGCACAAAGAAGAGGGGCAGAGAAAUAAUGCCCCCAAAGAUCCCAGAAUCUUUGCUCUUAGAUUCAAUGAGAGCUGGAAUUAGAAGAGAAAAGGUGAAUUCUAUCCUGCUCUAAAUUAGUAACUGCUUUUUGAACGGAGUUUGCAUCUCAUCGUGUCUGCAGCAGCAACAGCAGCAGCAGGCUUCUAAAGCAAUCCAGCUAUGUCUAAGGGUGCAAUUCCUCCUCUUGAAUGGGAACAUAGUGUGAUAAAAAGGUAAAGGGACCCCUGACCAUUAGGUCCAGUCGCGGAUGACUCUGGGGAAGAGGUGCUCAUCUCGCUUUAUUGGCUGAGGGAGCCGGCGUACAGCUUCCAGGUCAUGUGGCCAGCAUGACUAAGCCGCUUCUGGCGAACCAGAGCAGCGCACGUAAACGGCGUUUACCUUCCCGCUGGAGCGGUACCUAUUUAUCUACUUGCACUUGAUGUGCUUUCGAACUGCUAGGUGGGCAGGAGUAGGGACUGAGGAAUGGGAGCUCACCCCGUCGCGGGGAUUCGAACUGCCGACCUUCUGAUCGGCAAGUCCUAGGCUCUGUGGUUUAACCCACAGCGCCACCCGCGUCCCAACAUAGUGUGAUAUAUAUCACAAUAUAUAUCUGUUGUAAACAAAAAUCUGCCCUUUUCCCUUAUGGGGUAUCCAAGAGCCCAUAUAGAGUCUUUACAUAGGUUCCCAUAGAAGCCAACUAGAGAAUAUUGAGAAGUAAAGCAGCUAGUAAGCCUGAUCUUUAUUGAUCUGUUGCAACAGGUCCUCACUCACCACGCGAAGAAGGGAGGAGGAGCCCAGAACAAUGGUGUGCAAUCCUUUAUAUAGACUUUUGAAAUUGCCACCAUGUAGAUCAAGACCACCCCCAGAAACAUACAUACAUCACAGAAGGGGUGUAGCUCAAGACCACCACCCCAGAUACAUCGUACCUACAUCACAGAAAGGGCGGUCUACAGGAAAUCUGAGUGCUUUGUUGGGCAGGUUACCUGUUAAUGGUCGCUUGAUUGGAUUACCUGGGGAGCCUGGCCAAUCUUUUGGAAUGAUAAAUACUUUAGUUCCUGAGCCGGGUCACAGGUUCACCCUGUUCAUACACAGACAUACCCUUAAGACAGGAUUUGUGAGGAAAGAGACAAUGGGGAGGCUUCCCACUUUGACCUUGCAGAGAAAUCAUUUGCUCAGGGGAAUCAAAAUGGUUUCAGGUUGGUCUUCCUAUGCUGAUCUAUGUAUGUGCUUGGUUGGUACACUUAUGAACAUUUAACAUAUACUUCAAAAUUCCUAUCACAAUAGCAUCCUGCCUUAGGCUCAGGCUUGCCUACAACAGUGAUAGGGAACCAGCUGCCCUCCAGAUGUGGAUGGACUUCAACUCUCAGGAGCCCCAGCCUGCGUAAACAAUGGUCAAGGACAAGCAUAGGCAAACUCGGCCCUCCAGAUGUUUUGGGGCUACAAUUCCCAUCAUCUCUGACCACUGGUCUUGUUUGCUAGGGAUCAUGGGAGUUGUAGGCCAAAAACAUCUGGAGGGCUGAGUUUGCCUAUGCCUGGUCAAGGAUAAUGGAAGCUGUGAUCCAAUAUCUUGUUGUUUAGUCGUUUAGUUGUGUCCAACUCUUUGUGACCCCAUGGACCAGAGCACGCCAGGCACUCCUGUCUUCCACUGCCUCCCGCAGCUUGGUCAAACUCAUGUUAGUAGCUUCGAGAACACUGUCCAACCAUCUUGUCCUCUGUCGUCCCCUUCUCCUUGUGCCCUCAAUCUUUCCCAGCAUCAGGGUCUUUUCCAGGGAGUCUUCUCUUCUCAUGAGGUGGCCAAAGUAUUGGAGCCUCAGCUUCAGGAUCUGUCCUUCCAGUGAGCACUCAGGGCUGAUUUCCUUCAGAAUGGAUAGGUAUGAUCUUCUUGCAGUCCAUGGGACUCUCAAGAGUCUCCUCCAGCACCAUAAUUCAAAAGCAUCAAUUCUUCGGCCAUCAGCCUUCUUUAUGGUCCAGCUCUCACUUCCAUACAUCACUACUGGGAUCCAAUAUCUAGAGGACCACAAGUCCCUUACCUGUGUUCUUCAUACUAGCUGGCGGUAGUUCUAGAAAGUGACCUAUCCUAGCCUUACCUAGAGAUGCUGGUCCAUGAAUAUGUGAAAUUAGAAGCAGUGAAGGUUGCUCCCUGAGGAUGAAUGGGGCACUGUCCCACCAAGUGCACUCCCCCCCAGCUAGCCUUCCCCUUCCUGCCUUCCUACUUACGGCCAACCCAAGGGGUGGUGCCACAACCUGCCAGCAUCCUCCUCCAUAGUCUCAGUGCUGCCUUUGAGAAAGGAGGAUGGGGACAAAGAGAGAAUGAGGUGUCUUAUUUAUUUAAUUUUAUUUCAAAACCAAAAAGAAACAAAUACAAGCAUCAAAUUCAAAAUCCAUAUUCGUUUUCUAACAUAAGCCUAUUACAUAGAUUACCUAAAUUAAAACAUACAUGAUUACUCUAGGCUUCCCUUUGCUGUAUGUAAAUACAUCGCAGUUAAGAAAUGUAUAUUAUAAAUAAUAUUAUAGAUUCCCACAUGCCCCCCACUCCCCUUCACCCAUGUGUGAUCUCAAUAUUUUAUUUCUUCCAUCUUGUUGCGUUGUUAUAAUUUAAUAAUUAUUCAAUUGUUUCUAUUGUUAUUUUCUUGCUUACCCCUGCACGUUUUACGCAUUAUCUAUUAAUAUUUCAAUUCCGGAACAAUAUUUUUUCAUGUAUUCCUUCACUCCAUCCCACUCUUUGAUUAUUCUCUGAUUUGAGUGACCGCUAAUAAUUGCUGUCAAUUUUGCCAUUUCUACAAAUUCACAGAGUUUGUUUUGCCAUUCUAAUAAUGAUGGGAUUUUCUCCCCCUUCCAGUUCUUUGCGAUCAUUAGAGAAUGAGGUGUCAUUGGCUGUGAUUCCACCUGCAGUUGGGCUCCCUGCAUUCCAGCCUACCAGGCCCACUGGGUAACAGCCAACACUGGUAUGAACAUAAGAAAUAAUCUGCUGGAUCAGACCACCUCAUCCAGUAUCCUACUCUCACAGUGUCUGACCUGAUGCUCAUGGGAAGCCUGUAAGCCGCACCUGAAUGAAACAGUGCUCUCCUCACCUGGGAUUCCCAGCAACCAGCAUUCAGAUGUAUACUACCUCAGACAGUGGUUAUUGUGGUUGGUAGCCCUUGGUAGCCUUACCUUCACAAAUUACCGUAUUUUUCGCUCUAUAAGAUGCACUUUCCCCCUUCUAAAAAGUAAGCGGAAAUGUGUGUGCGUCUUAUGGAGCAAAUGCAGGCUGUGCAGCUAUCGCUGAAGCCAGAAGAGCAAGAGGGAUCGGUGCGCAGCGAUCCCUCUUGCUCUUCUGUCUUCAGAGAUAGCCACACAAAGCCUCUUGAGCGCAGCGGGAGCGCUCCUCCCUCUGCGCUCAAGAGGCUAUGCAUUGCUUUCUUGUUUCUUGUUUUCCUCCUCUAAAAACUAGGUGCGUCUUAUGGUUGGGUGUGUCUUACAGGGCGAAAAAUACGGUAAUCUUUUACAUGCUAAACAUGUGCCGCACCUCUGAGCAACUGUUCUUCCCUUGGCUUGUUAUGGCCAAGCUUUGUUAUGGAUGGGAUACAUCCAGGCACACACACAAUCCAGCUACUUUGCUACAGUGGUACCUCAGGUUACAUAUGCUUCAGGUUACAUACGCUUCAGGUUACAUACUCCGCUAACCCAGAAAUAGUGCUUCAGGUUAAGAACUUUGCUUCAGGUUGAGAACAGAAAUCGUGCUCCGGCGGUGCGGCAGCAGCAGGAGGCCCCAUUAGCUAAAGCAGUGCUUCAGGUUAAGAACAGUUUCAGGUUAAGUACGGACCUCCGGAACGAAUUAAGUACUUAACCUGAGGUACCACUGUAUUCUCUUGCAUUUCUCAAGCCCUCUGUGCAAAGCUUGCAUUUGAUUUCUUGCUCUGCCCACUUUUGCCUCAGUCCCUGCCCACCAUGGGUGUGUGGCCCCUGAAAGGUUGUCCAGCAGGGUAGGUGGACCUCGGAAUGAAAAAGGUUCCCCACCGCAGCUCUGAUGCUUGCUCCCCUUCUCUUUCCCUCUGCAGCCAGUAUCUGAGAGCAGCUUCUUGUCCAUCUGAAGAGAGGCUUCGUUGAGAAUUAAAAACUCUCCGGAGCGGAUCCUCAGUUAGCUUUGAUUUUUGAGCCCCUCGUGUGAUGAGCCUCGGGGAGCAGCCGUGUGGGUGGAGCGGAGCUUGCAAGGCUUGAACCAAAACAAGCUAACUCCCCAUGGCCUUCUGGGAAGAAACCGUGUGGUCUCAUGCCAGGGUUCCCAUUGUGAUUCCAAAUCGGGUGUGGGUGUGUCUGUUUCCCGUCCUUGGCCCUUAUUUGGCAAAAUAUAUAAACAGCAGGGUUGUCCCAACAAAGUUGAAAGGAUGUUCACAUGCAGGCAGGAGAUGUAAAUUGUCUGCGGAUUAUGAAGGGGGGGCAGGGAAGCACUCAGACCUUAAUUCUAGAAAAAAAACCCAUUGUGUGUACAUAUCUGUGUAUGCAGCCUAAAUCUUAUCAUCCCACACUUCACGGGCCUUGAAGAUGUUACACACAUCCUCCCACCCUCCAGAGUUUAAAAGCUUUGCGUCUAUUUGUUUUUUAAAGUGUCUUUUCACUUAAAAGAGCUUGACACUUCAUGCAGGAUUUGCAGCAACUCAUCCGAAAUAAUCUCUGCGGGGUUCUCUGCCUGGAUGUGCAAUAUUUGACGUGGUCUUUCUUUCCUUCUAUGGCAGUAACCUGCACGGUGGUCAAAUGGCUCUAUCCUGCAUUGCUCGUUUCAUUUUGCUUUUUUUAUAUAAAAAAACCAAGAGCAAUUAGAACAGCGGCCAUAUUAUUCCAAAGAGGCAGAACAUCAAAUAAGCCAGUGCCACACCCUUCAGAGAAGAGGAAACUUUGCCCUUAACAAGGGAGGCAGUGACAGCUGCUCAAUGUUCCAAGUUAAGUUGGGCCCAGCCUUUGAUCUCAGCAGGGGGCAGCGGGACUUGUGCUAACCACAUAUGCAAUCCUUACUUAAAAGGGUCAAGCAGGUAUUUUUAGUUCUAGUUUGAAGAUGGAGGGAGAGCCUGCCUCUCUCUCUCUCUCUCUCUCUCUCUCUCUCUCUCUCUCUCUCUCGGAUUAAAAAAAGGAAAAGCAGUUAGUGAAGCCAUUGCUAAGGUGGAAUGCCAGAGAUAAGAAAGGAAGAGGCUCUGGGUUAUUUGCCAAUUGGUGUCCUUCCCCCCUUCCCUAGCAGUGUGUAGGAGCCAUGCUCAAUUUACAGGGGAUGCACAGGAGCAACCCCCUGGCCCCCUUACAUUUUAUGCUAGCUAACACUUUUCAGAAGGCUCUCAGUAUGUGUCUGGUUUGGCUAAAGCUGGAGGGAGAGUGAGGCUUGCAGAGUUCCACUGAGAGCGCCCACCCUCUUCCCUUGUCAUUUGAGCACUAUGUAGAAGCCGUGUCUGUGUGUCUGUGUGUACAAUGCUAGGCCAAUUGGGCAGAGCACCAUAGAGAAUGCCUCCCCAUCUUUGUUGUGAUCUUGGGAAGGCAGUAUUGUGCAGCGGUUAGAGUGCGAAGGCCUGAAGUUCACCUGAUAACCUUCUAGUGCAGAGCUUUCCAAACCGUGUGUCGUGACACAUUAGUGUGUUGGCUGCAGUGUGUAGGUGUGUUGUGCGAAUGCUCCCCCAUGUUCUUCCCGGGGCUGGAAAGGGGUUAGUUUAAACCUCUGGUUUGCUAGUGAAACUGAAUUACUGUGCUGCGAAACAAUGCAUGUCUAAAAAGUGUGUCACCAUUGUGAAAAGUUUGGAAAGCUCUGUUCUAGGGUCACUCUAAACCUAACUUACCUUACGGCAUUGUUUUAGAGAUAGGGUCCAGGGAUGGGGAGGGGCAUGUAUUCUGCUUUGAACUCCCUGGAGGCAAGAUGGGAUGGAAACAUAAAAAAUAAUAAGGAUACAGUUGCACAGCAAAGAGUGGUGUUUUCUAGCAGGAGCUGUGUUCAACUCUAGCCUUAUCCCUAUGCACAUACUUUCUCAAACAAUGGCUGCAUGGCUGAAGAGGCAAGCAGUUUUUCAGGUUGCAUACUGGGGAGGAAGGGAUUGCCUCAUCAGCCUGGAAACUUCACAGACCCCUCCAGUGGUUUGUUUUCCCCUCUGUCAUUUCCAUUGCUUCAUCAGGGACUACCACUGUCCACUGCUUGAGGUAGUCCUGGGAGCACCGCUUCAGAAGCCCUGCUCUGUUUUAUUGAUCCUACAACAUUGCCAGUCAGCAAGUAUUUUGAUGCUCCCGCACGGUCAAAUUGUCAGUAUGGGGAGAUGAAAAGCCCAUAAAAUCACAGUUCUUCCAUACCCUGCUCACAAUCAACUGUUUUCCACUAUCCCAAGGAUGAGGAAGCUGCUGAACCGUUAGCCAUGUUGCCUGGGAACAGUGGGCAUGGUACUCUGUUGACAUCUAGAGAGCACCAGGUUGAGGAGAGCUGGUUUUCUCCUGUUGCUGUAUCUGUUUCUCCCUCAUACCAGGCACUGUCCCAGGCUACCUGCCAGCCUGGCCUUUGUACAACCAGGUCAGGGAAUGGCACUGGCUGGCAGCUUCCUCCUCUUUAGACUCAGUGUUGCCCUUGUAGGACUCAGCCAAGACGAGGAUGGGGACAAACCUAGAAUUAAUUGGCCCUCUCUGGUAUAGCUCCAACUACACCUGCAUCCCUCUCUAUCAGUUCCAGUGGGCACCAGCAGGGUGGUCUUUACUUGGGGGUGCAAGAGGUCCAAGGCACCCAGGCACAGAAUUCUGGGGAGUGCCAGGCACCCGCCACUAAAGGCACCUAAGCUCUUAACUAUCUCUACCUGUGAUUAAAUAAUAAAUAAUUUUGAUUAAUCUGACAUUCAAAGCCGGCUGCCACUGCCGCCUCCACCCUGGCCGCUUUCUCCUCCCCAGAGUCCUGCCCUGCAUGAAGAGGCGUUGCUCUUCUCCUCCCUCCUCCUGGGGAGCUUUUAAAAGUACCUGGAUGUGAAGCUGCACGGCCUUUGCAGAGCUCGGGUGCCCAGUCCUUGAGGGGCGACAGCAGCGAGACUCGGAAGAGCAGGACACCGCCUCCGCCGCCGCCAUGACCUUGCCUGCAACCAUGGAGAAGUAUAAAGGUAAAGGGACCCCUGACCAUUAGGUCCAGUCGUGGCCGACUCUGGGGUUGUGGCGCUCAUCUUGCUUUAUUGGCCGAGGGAGCCGGCGUACAGCUUCCGGGUCAUGUGGCCAGCAUGACUAAGCCGCUUCUGGCGAACCAGAGCAGCGAAUGGAAAUGCUGUUUACCUUUCUGCUGGAGCGGUACCUAUUUAUCUACUUGCACUUUGACGUGCAAGGCUGGCAGGAGCAGGUACCGAGCAACUGGAGCUCAUCCCAUCGCGGGGAUUCAAACCGCCAACCUUCUGAUCGGCAAGUCCUAGGCUCUGUGGUUUAACCCACAGCGCCACCCGCUUCCCUAUGGAGAAGUAUAUCUUAGUUGUAAACAUGAGCAGCAGUAAAUUUGGGGGCGCUGGGUGGGUCUUUGCACUCCGGCGGUGCAUAUGCUAAAGAUGGCCCUGGGCACCAGUCACCACUGGAUGGGGAACCCUGUGGUCCUCCAGAUGUUGUUGGACUUCAACUCCCAUCAUCCCUGACCAGAGGCAGGGGUGGUUUGAGUUCAGCACAAUGGGUACAGUCUCAGCCGUGCUGCAGGGAACACCAAAACAAAACUGUAGAAUGGAGUGCAAGAGGUGCCCCGCCCUCCAUUUUAGUAUCACAUAGGGCACGGCUGAAUUUUGAGAACCCAAAGUCCACCACUGGUCACACUGGCUGGGGCUGAUGGGAGUUGUUACCAGGUUCCCGCAUCCUCACUCUGCAAGCUCUGGUUCUAGAUCAGGCUUCCUCAACCUCAGCCCUCCAGAUGUUUUGGCCUACAACUCCCAUGAUCCCUAGCAGGACCAGUGGUCAGGGAUGAUGGGAAUUGUAGUCCCAUAACAGCUGGAGGGCCGAGGUUGAGGAAGCCUGUUCUAGAUUCGUGCCCCACUGGGAGCGAUCAGUUCUUUUGUAACCAAAAGCUGGCAUUCUUAACGCGUCUUCUUUCCAGACAGACCUCUUGGGAGGAAGGAAGCGUGAUCCCCACGGAACUGCUGCUAACUGCUGCAAGUGGGCAACAUUUAGGCCCUGUGACGCUCUGAGCAAAGGAAGAAGAAGAAACAGAUAGGGUUGGGGGUUAAGAAGAAGAAGAGAGUAAAUGAAAUAACUCUCACAGGGGAAAUACCCUUUUCAAAGCAAAAACCUUCAAGGAAGUGCUGAUUUGCAUUACAGAAGCGCUCUGUCAUUUUAUUUCCUGCCACAGACAAAUUUAUCACUUUUUUUUGGAGUGUCGACUAUCAAUGACAGCAGAAAUUACACGUCCUUUCAUAGCCCAAGUCUUUUGAUAAUUACUCUUUUAACUGCCUCUUGCUUACAGAUUUUAUCUCAUUCCGAGUAGAGGGGUAACAAUCUGACACAGUUUGGAAGAAUAUUAAAUUCACCCCUCCACCACCACCACCCGUCAACUGGAAAGUGCUUGACCGGAUAAUGUCGCUGCCCCAAAAGAGGCAAUCUGCCAAAAGAGAAUUAAAAUCUGAAACAAUGAAAGGUUUCAAAUAGGGAAAUGUGAUGACAGAGAUGAGAGGAAGGUUUCAUUUGGACAGGGUAUGAUUUCCCUGUGAUGGUUGCUUUAUUCUUCCCCUCCCCCCUUGUUUAUUCUUAAUGCAUUAUCACAUCCUCGGGGGCCAAAACACUGCCAGUCUUCCCAAAGAGGAGUGCGGGAAAUAGGAACAUUCAGAAAGGAUUUCCAUGGAUGGCUACCAAUGUUACUCCUGCUCAGAGUAGCCCCCUUAAAAUUAAUGGGCAUGUCUAAUUUAAAGCUAGUGUUUUCAAUGGGUCUGUGGAGUAGAACUUAGCUGGAUGCUAACCCUAAAGGCUGGACAAUAAAAACAGCUGACAAUAGAGGGAAACCUAAAAAAAAUAAGUAAAAUCCAUCUAGCUGGGAAAGGUUGUCAGAGAGAGAGAGAGAGAGAGAGAGAGAGAGAGAGAGAGAGAGAAAGAAAGAAAGAAAGAAAGUCUUCAAUUGUUUCAGGAAAAUACAGAUAGCAGAUGCCCAUUGUAUCUCAGCAAGGAUGCCUUUCCACAUAACAGGGGCAACCACACCUAAGGCCCUGUUCCAAGUUGCAGUGAAAGCACUUCUGAUAUUUUAGAGACUUUAAGGAGAUACUCUUCUGCAGGACACAGCAACCUUUUGAGUGUGGGAUAACCAGCCUCAUGCAACCAACAUGCUUAAGUCUCAUUAACAUGAAGGGAUUAAUACCAUAGAGUAAUCUGUCCUGCCAGGCUUAGCUGUGUCCCCUUCCGCUCACCUUGAGAGGGACUAGGUAAUCAGAUCUCUGUUCCCUCAGUUAACCCAAGAAGCUCAGCAUGUGAAGAGGAUUGAUCUGGUUGCUCCAGCUCAGACCGCAUAGCUCCCACAAACAUCCCUUGAGUUCCUAUACCAAUAAUUUAGAAACUUUCAGUGUUUUGGAACUAAGCCAAGUUUUACUGCCUGUGCCACUUUUCUGACUGGUGUAUGGAAACGCACAUGAACCAGACCUUUGAAGAGUUUGUAAGUGAACCAAUGGAAGAGGGACAUUUUGGAACUCACAAGGGCAUAUUUUAAAGAUUUAACAGCCUAUAUUUCAGUGCUUUGAUUUGCUGAAUAUUUUGUGAUUUUAAAUCUCUGCUGGGGUUCCUGCCUCAAACUUGGAUCUUGGCAUCUAGGAAUUAUCAUCAAAUUUUAUAUAUAUAUAAAACCAGCAUGGGGUAUAUAAGAGUUGAAGCAGAACCAAUAGGGCUGCAGCUUACAUACACACUGACUGCACCAGUUUAAUGGGAAGAGUCUCUUGGGCUCAUCUUCUUUAUGUUCUUCAUGGCCUGCUUUUGCCUUUGUGUUAACAUGACAAGCCAAGCCUAUAAAUAUAUGUUUGUUUGCACAUGGCAUUUCAGCAGGCAACCAUAAAAUGCAAAAUGGCACUUCAUUGCUUUUUUGUGUUUUGUUUUUGCUCCUUCCAAAGCCUUUCUUCUCAUGAUUUCCUCUGGGCACUCAAGACAAAUGGCAGUUAGGGAAGAAACUGGAAGGUGUUGAAAACUGCUCCUGUUCUGUUAUCUCAAGUUCUCCUGCAUGGUCUGCUAUCUGUAUACAACUGGAUCUGGUGGCAACAGUUGUUGAGAAGUUUGCUUUUUCAGCCAGGGAUGUGAAUAUAUCUCUGGAGCAAGUUUUCUUUGAUCUGGGAGAGGACAGUGAUCUGCCCAUCUGCCCCACAUCAUCCCAAUAACAGAUCUCUCAUACUUCAGACUUAAAACUGAAAAGUGAGGGGAAAAAUUGAGAAGCUCAAGAAGUGGAAUAUACGAAUUAAGAAAAACUGGAGUUUCACAGUGGUGCCAACCACUGUGUCCCUGAAAAAAGGGUGGCUUUUAUGAAUGUGUGACUGAGAAAGAGAGAUGGAAAACUUUUCGUAGAAGAGAAUAUGCUGACAGACUUGUAGUUUUGAUCUGGAGCACCCCCCACCCCACCAAAAAAAAUUCUCAAGGCUAGAUGGGAGCUAAAGGAUUCCUAGAGAAUAAGGAUUUGGCUGCUAUCUUGCAGGCAAACACCCUUGAAUUUACCCUAAAAUGUGGGAUCCCGUGCAAUUUGAGAAGGGAAUUUGGUGUCAUGCCAGAAAGAAAGUGUUUACAGAAAACAAGCAUAUAUCAUAUAACAAAAAUACAGAGCUGCAGCUCAGUUGGUUUACCCCCAAAGAUGUUGCAACAUUCUGAGUUCCCAUUGGUGUGGAAAUCUCUAAUGUCUUAGAUGAUGCGCAACAGGUUUCUCAGUUGGUCAGGGUUGGAGAACUCAAGGCUGGGGGAGUUUGUCUCCCAAGCCUCUCUGUCUGGGUCUCUCUUACCAGAUCACACCCUUCCCUAAGCCGCACACCCCUCUCCCAAGACCACAUCUCUAGCCAGACCUGUUUGCAUCCUCCUUGAGUGUUCUCACAAUGAAUCUUACUCACCUGGAUGCAGGAUAGAAGAGAGAGAAAGAGAGAGGGAGGAGGAGGAGGAGGAGGAGGAGGAGGAGGAGAUUUGCAUUUGCCCACAAUCUGUCUGUCUGUCUGUCUCUGUCUGUCUUAUCUAUCUUCCGUCUAAAAUCUGCAGUUUGGACCAAAAAGCAACUGCUAACCAUUUCCAGUCCUGGGAACCACAGCCUGUAAGACAUAUCAGUAAUUUCUGUAGAGAUGCCAAUAGAUCCAACCAUGUUAGCAAAGGCAGAGGUGUUCUGGAUGUGUUCUCUGGACACAUUGAUACCACAUGGCCUCAGCCUGUACCACUUUGCAUCAGCCCAUGAAGCCCUUCUGAGCACUCCAUCCUCAAAGCUCUGUAAGAGCCACCCUGGAACCAGCAGCAUUUUUAACAGAGCAACUGAUGAAGCCAGAAGCCAG